This 82-nucleotide ribosomal RNA is filed under the name Bacteroidales bacterium. The record is from RNAcentral. Lineage: Bacteria; Pseudomonadati; Bacteroidota; Bacteroidia; Bacteroidales.
UUCCCAUUCCGAACAGAGAAGUUAAGCCCGCUUGCGCCGAUGGUACUGCUAUACCAAGUGGGAGAGUAGGUAGCCGCCAUCU